This 400-nucleotide ribosomal RNA is filed under the name uncultured bacterium. RNAcentral's name for it is "bacterial SSU rRNA". It matches the Rfam family "Bacterial small subunit ribosomal RNA", at positions 359 to 776 of the family's 1533-position model. The record is from RNAcentral.
GAAUCUUAGACAAUGGGGGCAACCCUGAUCUAGCCAUGCCGCGUGUGUGACGAAGGCCCUAGGGUCGUAAAGCACUUUCGCCGGGGAAGAUAAUGACGGUACCCGGUAAAGAAGUCCCGGCUAACUCCGUGCCAGCAGCCGCGGUAAUACGGAGGGGACUAGCGUUGUUCGGAAUUACGGGGCGUAAAGCGCGCGUAGGCGGAUUACUAAGUCAGGGGUGAAAUCCCGGGGCUCAACCCCGGAACUGCCCUUGAUACUGGUAGUCUGGAGUUCUGGAGAGGUGAGUGGAAUUCCGAGUGUAGAGGUGAAAUUCGUAGAUAUUCGGAGGAACACCAGUGGCGAAGGCGGCUCACUGGCCAGAUACUGACGCUGAGGUGCGAAAGUGUGGGGAGCAAACAGG